UUUUACUCUUUAAAUGUUUCCCCCAAUAUAUUUUCUUUUUUUUAAUCCUAGGAAACUAAUAUAAACAAGAUACCAGAAAGUCCAAACAGUAACCAAUAUGAAAAGAAGCCUGAAGAGAUUGUAAGAUUAUAUUUCCCAGUCAGAGGCAGUAAAGCUGAAACUACACCAGUUGAGUUUCUGGAAAGUGAUAAGAAAGAGCCAACUAUACCCAUUGUGAAACUUCAGGACCCUGAUGAUUUAAUUGAUGUUGCUCCGAGAACUGAUGAAUCAACACCUCCACCCACAGAUAUUCCACUGUCCAUUAUUCCCACCCUGACAGUGACAGAAGCAGAGGAAGCACCAUGUAUAGAUGAACAGCAAUCAAAAGCUGUGCCAGAGGACAAAUUGAAAAACACACUGUUGCCACCAGUAGUAAGACUGAGAAAUACACAUGCAGGCAUUUUAAAAAGAGAAUCAUCUUCAUCAAAGGUAAAGUUGACAAAUAUGCAUGUAAAUCCAGAGGAAGUAAGGAGGGUUACAGGUGCAUCUCCAGCUGAAAUUAGGUGGCAAAGCAACUAUUUAAACUUAGCUGAGAGAAAAAGUACAAGCUUUCUUUCCCCAGAUUUAAAAUCAAAA
This 615-nucleotide long non-coding RNA is filed under the name Cavia porcellus (domestic guinea pig). Its description in RNAcentral is "lncRNA (ENSCPOG00000034602.1)". Lineage: Eukaryota; Metazoa; Chordata; Mammalia; Rodentia; Caviidae. The record is from RNAcentral.